UACGAAGGGGGCUAGCGUUGCUCGGAAUCACUGGGCGUAAAGGGCGCGUAGGCGGACUCUUAAGUCGGGGGUGAAAGCCCAGGGCUCAACCCUGGAAUUGCCUUCGAUACUGAGAGUCUUGAGUUCGGAAGAGGUUGGUGGAACUGCGAGUGUAGAGGUGAAAUUCGUAGAUAUUCGCAAGAACACCAGUGGCGAAGGCGGCUCACUGGCCCAUUACUGACGCUGAGGCACGAAAGCGUGGGGAGCAAACAGG
RNAcentral lists this ribosomal RNA (253 nucleotides) under uncultured bacterium. RNAcentral describes it as "partial 16S ribosomal RNA". It matches the Rfam family "Bacterial small subunit ribosomal RNA", at positions 524 to 776 of the family's 1533-position model. The record is from RNAcentral.